AUCGAUGGCGCCGUUCCAGGUGCCCGGUUGCCUCCGGGAGAAUCGGGAAGGCAGUGGAAGUCUGCCACGCGCCCAGCGCUGUGAAGGGGACCUUCCGGACGGAUGCCACUGGCCCCGCGGGCCGGGAAGGUGUCCGGAAGGGGUGAGCCUGAGUCAGAAGACCGGCCUGGAACGUCCUGGGAAG
Molecule: non-coding RNA, 184 nt
Filed under: Rhodospirillum centenum
Lineage: Bacteria; Pseudomonadati; Pseudomonadota; Alphaproteobacteria; Rhodospirillales; Rhodospirillaceae
Also listed under: 1 other name
Source: RNAcentral